UCUAAUACCGGAUACGACCCUUGAAGGCAUCUUUGAGGGUGGAAAGUUCCGGCGGUAUGGGAUGGACCCGCGGCCUAUCAGCUUGUUGGUGGGGUAAUGGCCUACCAAGGCGACGACGGG
RNAcentral lists this ribosomal RNA (120 nucleotides) under Lentzea aerocolonigenes. RNAcentral's name for it is "partial 16S rRNA". It matches the Rfam family "Bacterial small subunit ribosomal RNA", at positions 162 to 283 of the family's 1533-position model. Lineage: Bacteria; Bacillati; Actinomycetota; Actinomycetes; Pseudonocardiales; Pseudonocardiaceae. The record is from RNAcentral.